AAAAAUAUCUUAAUAGUGAACGGAGGGAGUAGAAGAUAAGGUUUAGAAGUGCUCCUCUACUGAGUAUGAACGAAGUAAAUUAUGGAACUCGCGGCGGAUCUUCCUCAAGUAUGUACAGAUAUAAAUAAAAGAUUGACGUGGGAUCUCGGUGCAUUUUAUUUUCUUGAUCAAAAGAGAGGCCCCCCUCUCCGAUUUCACUAAGAGAAACCAAGGUUCACAGCUACUACUAGGGUUUUUGUUACCCCGCACACGACAUACUAUCUUACAUGACCGGGGAUUACGACGAACCCCAGCCCAGCACCUCAAAAGGAUCGUGCAAGAUCUGAAAAUAAAAGCAGAGCACCCACACAACACUUCAGACACAGCAUACAGUAGUUGGAAGCAAAGCCUAGCACAUCAUAGCUAAAGCAAGAACUAGAUAACGGCUGAGGCAGCAGCAACGACGAAGAAGGUAAGCCACUGGGAAGACGAUCGGGACCUCAGCGCAUGCUCAUACAUCUCAAGCAUCGACGGAUGCAAUGUUGGUGGCAUCGUUGCAGAACCGGCCGCACGCAUCGCCGCAGCGCCCCACGCCGACUUUCGUGUCUUCGCCAAGCUCAGCUGAUGACAAGAUCAAGAUGUGUGCAAUGCUCAUUCCAAACCGAAAAAAAAACUUUUCCCUCUUAUGAUAAAUUGAAAGUUAUAUAUACAGAUGAUGAGUUAAUUCAGAUACUACCUGAAUUGACGUUGUCACAGACUGAGAGCCUACAUCCUAAUUUGCAGUACUCAAUGGCGUCUGGUUCUUCUUCCGCAACAGCAGGAGCAAGCAUUAGUCAACCAGCCGUUAAUUGCAAUUUCUAUGCAUCUGGGAGCAAAAUGAUGUAGAGAAAACAGGAAGGGUGGCUUGGGUUCACGUACCAGCUGAACCGGGGAGAAGGUUGAGCUUAGGGUAUUCCCUGGGGCAUGUGCUGUCCCUUGUGAGCACACAGCCACACAUUUUUGAGCAGGGAGUACUGGGGUGCACAAGAAGGCACACGUUGUAACAGUUUCUUGACCUGGUGUCUCUGCAGCAGCUCUUGCCCUCUGCUACUUGGAUUUGUCCCUGGACAAGCAGUCCCAGUAUCAGUAUGAGUGCACACAUGAUCACGCUCUUGAAAUGCUUGCUCUCCAUGGCUGCCUUCCCUGCUGCGAAAACGCACAGGAACAAGACUCGUAUAUAUGGCCCCAAUUUAUAGGAGACGAUGCUCCGCAUGGGCAGUAAUUGUUGAGAAGUGAUAUGCAUGAAUGAGCCGUGCUCCGCUGAGAGCCACGUACACGGUUGAGAUCGUCUACGUGUGCGCUGCGUGCCCUAGGCGAUUAUGCGGUGCCCGCUAACUCCUACCUGCCUCGUGCAUUAAGUUUUCACGUGCAGCUCUUGUGCCAUGGCCGACUAGGAUGUUUUUAGGUGUAUUUUACUUUACUCUUGUGUUAUGGACAGAUACGUGGCCACUCGACCGGUUGUCCUCGUCGACGGUACCUCGCCCAGAAGAUGCCUACUCUCCAUCCUCAUUAGCUUCCGUGUUCUUCUUCUUUUUUCUUUUCUCUUAUUUAUUUUUCAAGAAAACUUCCGAUAUAUUCAUCUGCAAUCAUGGCACUACAACAAACAUCUUAAAUAAUAAAAAUUAUAUCCAGAUCCGUAGACCACCUAGCGACGACUACAAGCAUUGAAGCGAGCUGAAGACGCGCCGCCGUCAUUGCCCCUCCCUUGCAGGAGCUGGACAAAACUUGUUCUAGUAGACAGUCGAAAAAUCGUCGUACUAAGGCAACCGCCGCCGAUGAAGAGAGUAGUGUAGAUCGAAAGAAUUCAAUCUGAAAACACAUGAACAUAGACGAACUAUGAUCAGAUCCGAGCAUAUCCAGCAAGAACAGAUCCGCCGGAGACACACCUCCACAUGCCCAUCGAUGAUGCUAGACACACCAUCGGGAGGGCAGGCUGGGAGAACCUUAUUCCAUCUUCAGGGAGCUGUUGUCGUCUCGUCUUCUUGAAUAGGACACAAACUCUAACAAAAUACGAAGGAACAACUGAAAACAAAGCCCUUCCCCGACAAGGGCCGAGAUCCACCACACCACCAUGGCCCUAAAACCAUCGCAGACGACACGUACCGACGGCAGUACCAGCAGGAGGUGGGGGAACCCUAGACCAGCAAUUUUGUGGCCCAAGUUAGCACCUAGGAAAAAUUCUUCUUCUACUACUUCUUCUCUCUUAGGCUGCCCGUAAUGGAAGUAUCACACUCCCUCCGUCCGGGUUUAUUGGGCCCCUGGGCGGAGGGAGCUCGUCCGCUCUUAUUAGGCCCCUUAAUCGAUAUGGCUGUCAAAAGCAGAAAACGCUUCGUUGCUUUCUCGAUCUCCUCAGCCGCGGUUCAUCUUCCGAAGCGCAUUAAAUUUCCAUCCGCUGGCAUGCAGAAGAAGCUGCUAUACAUUGAGCGGACUAGUACUCCUAGCACAACGCCACAACAGUAGUCCCAGGAAAGAAACCAGCGUCUCGCCGGCCGGAUGCAGCGCUGUACCAGCAAUGUCGUCGCGACCGAAGGCGGAGCACAGCGUCGACGUUGAUCCGGACGCGGAGACCCAGUCCGGGCUGGGCUUGGACGCGUCGCCGACCAACCUCGCCGCUGCUGGGCACGCAGAGCUCAGUGUCCAUGGUGCGUCGCUGGCGGAGCACAGCGUGGACGUCGAUCCGGACGCGGAGACCCAGUCCGGGCUGGGCUUAGGCGCGCCACUGCCAGACCUCGUCGCUGCUGGGCACGCAGACCUCGGCGUCCAUGAUGCGCCGCAGGCCGAGCACGACAUGAAGGUCGCUCCCGACGCGGAGACCCAGGCGGAGCUGGGCUUGGGCGUCCAGGACAUGCAGGUAUGUAUGCAUGCCUUAUCCAGGGAUCAUGGUGAUGUUUAGUCGGUGCAGUUAGGCCGGCCAUGGUACUUAGCUUUUGUAGGAUGAAUAGCAAAUGAUGCAUGCUCCACCCUUGUCUUUACAUGAUGGCUACAUGCAGGGCGGCGUGCUGGACGUGGGGCAGGGCAUCCUCGCGCAUGCCCACGACGUGCUCGACGUCGCGCAGGGCAUCCUCGCGCUCGCCCAGGAGGGUCCAGACCUUGGGGCGCUGCUGGACCAGGUGGAGGCUCUCAUGGACACCGUCACGGCGCUCGUCGACGACGCCACGGCAUUGGUGAACCAGCGACCGGGUGUGCUCGGCAGGGAGGAGGGAUUCGUGGUGCCAAGGAGGACUGCAUUCGGACUGAAGAGAGUUGAACACGCCAAGAUCUAGGGCGUUAGUGUCCGGAGAAUUAGGUGGCUGCAUCACAACCCUAAUGUCCCAACCACCUUGAGCAGCUGCCGCACACACCGCCGGAUCAUCUGGUCGAACAUGUGUCUUGGCAUUGUCCUGUUGGAUGAAAAUAGGCUUGUACCGAUCCUCUUGCGGCCACUUCUCCUUGAUUGCCGGCAACACCUUCGUGAUCAAGUAUUCCCGGCUCUUCUCCAUGCCGACUUUAUCGCAUGGCUUGAGCUCCAACGUUCCUCUAGGCCUGUUUGGGCUUCUCCUCUGUGAUGGUUUCCACUCAACAUAGGGCCAAAUUCCAAUUUUACCAUCAAAAGUACAAUUGCCUUGCAUAUCAUAUCUUGGCCUAGCAACAGCAGCAAGAAACAUGAUCUUCUCAAUGUGUCCCUUGUUUUUGGCGUGCCUCACGGGGUUCGGCUCGUUAAUGCCCAAAUAAACCCCCUGGGUUUUCCUUGUACGAUAAAACCACUUUUCAUCAAUAUGGACCACAUUAAACGAAUCCUUGAAGACAGGGUUCUCCGGCAUACUAGCGGGUUCUAGGUUUGAAAGGCAAUACAUGACACGAGCUUUCUUGUUUUCUUCCGCUAGCAUAGGCUUGAGCUCGUUGGUGUGUUUGCGUAACUCAUGCUCCUUCAAAAGCCUGUGAACGGUGGUCUUCGCCAUGUUCAAUGCACCGGCAACAUCUCUAAUUGUUGUUCGAUCAUUCGGAGGGACGGCGGCUAAAGCAUCUGAGUCCAAUGUAACACGCUUUCUACCAACUCUGCCCGGCCGCUUGUUGAUAACCGCAUUCACACCACCUCCUCUCCUACCAUUAUCCCAUAUCCGCCGAAGAACCCUAACUGACACUUUAUAUAGAGCUGAUAUUUUCUUAGUCACCCCACGUUUCAAUGGACCACGUCCAUUUAUCUCCAAAAUGGCCGUAUACAGUGAACGCUUUUCGUCAUCAGUAUGAAAUGUCCUUCUUUUCCUAUUGGCCAUCACAUCUGGGAACAAACAUAAGAGUAGAAUUUUGUUAAACAACAAGUGUGAAAAUAAGUGUUCAUACAUCUGGGAACAAAUAUAAACAUUAUAAAAAAAUACCUAUUGCUCAUUCUAUAAAGUUGCAGGAAAUAUACAUGUGCAAAAUCCAUCUAUGAAACCGAUAAAAAAAUAUACGCACUGUUCCAUUGCAUAUUCGAACUAAAAAAUAAGUGUUCAUACACAAAGCAAGCAAACCUACUUAGAUCGAUGAUGUUGUUGGUCUCAUGAUCUUCAGCGUUCUGGUCCGUGCCGUCUCCUUCUUCCUCGACGUGCUGGUCCAUGCCAUGUCCGUGCUCCUCGCCGUGCUGGUCCAUGCCGUGGUCGUCCUCGCCGUGCUGGUCCAUGUCGUGGCCGUCCUGGUCGUGCUGGUCCGUACCCUGGCCAUCUUCCUCGCCGUUCUGGUCCGUGCCGUGGCCUUCUUCCUCGACGUGCUGGUCCAUGUCGUGGCCGCCGUACGCGCCGCCAUCGUGAGAACGGAAGGCGCCGCCGUCGUGGGCACCGUACGCGCCGCUGUCGUGUGCAUAGUACGCGCCACCGUCGUGGGCACCGUAUGCGCCGCUGUCGUGUGCACAGUACGCGCCGCCGUCGUGGGCAUCGUACGCGCCGCCGUCGUGUGCACAGUACGCGCCGCCGUCUUCGUGCCUUGUGAACCAACGACUGCCCCGCCAGCCGGACAUACUACCACUGGAGGAGCUCGCCACCGACGGCAACCGACCAGCAAGACCGAGACGAAGAUGGCGUUCAGCGCCGGACGAGCUACCUAUGUCGCGAACGGCAGCGUGUCCUCCCCCGAGGAGCGUGGGGCUGUGCUCGCAGCCUUGUCCACGGCCAGGCGAUGAACCUAUGGAUGCAGGAAAACGCCCACACCGGCGUACACGCCCGGAAAGACCGAGGCGUAGCUGGCCUUGCCCGCAGCCGGCAUGACCAAGACCUGGCCGGCCUUGCCCGCGGCCGUUGCCGGCUUUGUGGCCGAUGUAGAAACAUAUAAUAAGUUCAGGCAAUCACCGGAGCCUCUCCGGUUUACUAAAUACUACUCCCUCCCUCCGUUCACCAUUAUAGGAUGUUCUAACUUUUUUCUGAAACAGAUGUAUAUAGCCGUAUUUUAGUGUAUUUGUUCACUCAUUUCAGUCCAUAUGUAGUCCAUAUUGAAAUAUAAAAAAUAUCUUAAUAGUGAACGGAGGGAGUAGAAGAUAAGGUUUAGAAGUGCUCCUCUACUGAGUAUGAACGAAGUAAAUUAUGGAACUCGCGGCGGAUCUUCCUCAAGUAUGUACAGAUAUAAAUAAAAGAUUGACGUGGGAUCUCNNNNNNNNNNGCUGCGUGCCCUAGGCGAUUAUGCGGUGCCCGCUAACUCCUACCUGCCUCGUGCAUUAAGUUUUCACGUGCAGCUCUUGUGCCAUGGCCGACUAGGAUGUUUUUAGGUGUAUUUUACUUUACUCUUGUGUUAUGGACAGAUACGUGGCCACUCGACCGGUUGUCCUCGUCGACGGUACCUCGCCCAGAAGAUGCCUACUCUCCAUCCUCAUUAGCUUCCGUGUUCUUCUUCUUUUUUCUUUUCUCUUAUUUAUUUUUCAAGAAAACUUCCGAUAUAUUCAUCUGCAAUCAUGGCACUACAACAAACAUCUUAAAUAAUAAAAAUUAUAUCCAGAUCCGUAGACCACCUAGCGACGACUACAAGCAUUGAAGCGAGCUGAAGACGCGCCGCCGUCAUUGCCCCUCCCUUGCAGGAGCUGGACAAAACUUGUUCUAGUAGACAGUCGAAAAAUCGUCGUACUAAGGCAACCGCCGCCGAUGAAGAGAGUAGUGUAGAUCGAAAGAAUUCAAUCUGAAAACACAUGAACAUAGACGAACUAUGAUCAGAUCCGAGCAUAUCCAGCAAGAACAGAUCCGCCGGAGACACACCUCCACAUGCCCAUCGAUGAUGCUAGACACACCAUCGGGAGGGCAGGCUGGGAGAACCUUAUUCCAUCUUCAGGGAGCUGUUGUCGUCUCGUCUUCUUGAAUAGGACACAAACUCUAACAAAAUACGAAGGAACAACUGAAAACAAAGCCCUUCCCCGACAAGGGCCGAGAUCCACCACACCACCAUGGCCCUAAAACCAUCGCAGACGACACGUACCGACGGCAGUACCAGCAGGAGGUGGGGGAACCCUAGACCAGCAAUUUUGUGGCCCAAGUUAGCACCUAGGAAAAAUUCUUCUUCUACUACUUCUUCUCUCUUAGGCUGCCCGUAAUGGAAGUAUCAUACUCCCUCUGUCCGGGUUUAUUGGGCCCCUGGGCGGAGGGAGCUCGUCCGCUCUUAUUAGGCCCCUUAAUCGAUAUGGCUGCCAAAAGCAGAAAACGCUUCGUUGCUUUCUCGAUCUCCUCAGCCGCGGUUCAUCUUCCGAAGCGCAUUAAAUUUCCAUCCGCUGGCAUGCAGAAGAAGCUGCUAUACAUUGAGCGGACUAGUACUCCUAGCACAACGCCACAACAGUAGUCCCAGGAAAGAAACCAGCGUCUCGCCGGCCGGAUGCAGCGCUGUACCAGCAAUGUCGUCGCGACCGAAGGCGGAGCACAGCGUCGACGUUGAUCCGGACGCGGAGACCCAGUCCGGGCUGGGCUUGGACGCGUCGCCGACCAACCUCGCCGCUGCUGGGCACGCAGAGCUCGGUGUCCAUGGUGCGUCGCUGGCGGAGCACAGCGUGGACGUCGAUCCGGACGCGGAGACCCAGUCCGGGCUGGGCUUAGGCGCGCCACUGCCAGACCUCGUCGCUGCUGGGCACGCAGACCUCGGCGUCCAUGAUGCGCCGCAGGCCGAGCACGACAUGAAGGUCGCUCCCGAUGCGGAGACCCAGGCGGAGCUGGGCUUGGGCGUCCAGGACAUGCAGGUAUGUAUGCAUGCCUUAUCCAGGGAUCAUGGUGAUGUUUAGUCGGUGCAGUUAGGCCGGCCAUGGUACUUAGCUUUUGUAGGAUGAAUAGCAAACGAUGCAUGCUCCACCCUUGUCUUUACAUGAUGGCUACAUGCAGGGCGGCGUGCUGGACGUGGGGCAGGGCAUCCUCGCGCAUGCCCACGACGUGCUCGACGUCGCGCAGGGCAUCCUCGCGCUCGCCCAGGAGGGUCCAGACCUUGGGGCGCUGCUGGACCAGGUGGAGGCUCUCAUGGACACCGUCACGGCGCUCGUCGACGACGCCACGGCAUUGGUGAACCAGCGACCGGGUGUGCUCGGCAGGGAGGAGGGAUUCGUGGUGCCAAGGAGGACUGCAUUCGGACUGAAGAGAGUUGAACACGCCAAGAUCUAGGGCGUUAGUGUCCGGAGAAUUAGGUGGCUGCAUCACAACCCUAAUGUCCCAACCACCUUGAGCAGCUGCCGCACACACCGCCGGAUCAUCUGGUCGAACAUGUGUCUUGGCAUUGUCCUGUUGGAUGAAAAUAGGCUUGUACCGAUCCUCUUGCGGCCACUUCUCCUUGAUUGCCGGCAACACCUUCGUGAUCAAGUAUUCCCGGCUCUUCUCCAUGCCGACUUUAUCGCAUGGCUUGAGCUCCAACGUUCCUCUAGGCCUGUUUGGGCUUCUCCUCUGUGAUGGUUUCCACUCAACAUAGGGCCAAAUUCCAAUUUUACCAUCAAAAGUACAAUUGCCUUGCAUAUCAUAUCUUGGCCUAGCAACAGCAGCAAGAAACAUGAUCUUCUCAAUGUGUCCCUUGUUUUUGGCGUGCCUCACGGGGUUCGGCUCGUUAAUGCCCAAAUAAACCCCCUGGGUUUUCCUUGUACGAUAAAACCACUUUUCAUCAAUAUGGACCACAUUAAACGAAUCCUUGAAGACAGGGUUCUCCGGCAUACUAGCGGGUUCUAGGUUUGAAAGGCAAUACAUGACACGAGCUUUCUUGUUUUCUUCCGCUAGCAUAGGCUUGAGCUCGUUGGUGUGUUUGCGUAACUCAUGCUCCUUCAAAAGCCUGUGAACGGUGGUCUUCGCCAUGUUCAAUGCACCGGCAACAUCUCUAAUUGUUGUUCGAUCAUUCGGAGGGACGGCGGCUAAAGCAUCUGAGUCCAAUGUAACACGCUUUCUACCAACUCUGCCCGGCCGCUUGUUGAUAACCGCAUUCACACCACCUCCUCUCCUACCAUUAUCCCAUAUCCGCCGAAGAACCCUAACUGACACUUUAUAUAGAGCUGAUAUUUUCUUAGUCACCCCACGUUUCAAUGGACCACGUCCAUUUAUCUCCAAAAUGGCCGUAUACAGUGAACGCUUUUCGUCAUCAGUAUGAAAUGUCCUUCUUUUCCUAUUGGCCAUCACAUCUGGGAACAAACAUAAGAGUAGAAUUUUGUUAAACAACAAGUGUGAAAAUAAGUGUUCAUACAUCUGGGAACAAAUAUAAACAUUAUAAAAAAAAUACCUAUUGCUCAUUCUGUAAAGUUGCAGGAAAUAUACAUGUGCAAAAUCCAUCUAUGAAACCGAUAAAAAAAUAUACGCACUGUUCCAUUGCAUAUUCGAACUAAAAAAUAAGUGUUCAUACACAAAGCAAGCAAACCUACUUAGAUCGAUGAUGUUGUUGGUCUCAUGAUCUUCAGCGUUCUGGUCCGUGCCGUCUCCUUCUUCCUCGACGUGCUGGUCCAUGCCAUGUCCGUGCUCCUCGCCGUGCUGGUCCAUGCCGUGGUCGUCCUCGCCGUGCUGGUCCAUGUCGUGGCCGUCCUGGCCGUGCUGGUCCGUACCCUGGCCAUCUUCCUCACCGUUCUGGUCCGUGCCGUGGCCUUCUUCCUCGACGUGCUGGUCCAUGUCGUGGCCGCCGUACGCGCCGCCAUCGUGAGAACGGAAGGCGCCGCCGUCGUGGGCACCGUACGCGCCGCUGUCGUGUGCAUAGUACGCGCCACCGUCGUGGGCACCGUAUGCGCCGCUGUCGUGUGCACAGUACGCGCCGCCGUCGUGGGCAUCGUACGCGCCGCCGUCGUGUGCACAGUACGCGCCGCCGUCUUCGUGCCUUGUGAACCAACGACUGCCCCGCCAGCCGGACAUACUACCACUGGAGGAGCUCGCCACCGACGGCAACCGACCAGCAAGACCGAGACGAAGAUGGCGUUCAGCGCCGGACGAGCUACCUAUGUCGCGAACGGCAGCGUGUCCUCCCCCGAGGAGCGUGGGGCUGUGCUCGCAGCCUUGUCCACGGCCAGGCGAUGAACCUAUGGAUGCAGGAAAACGCCCACACCGGCGUACACGCCCGGAAAGACCGAGGCGUAGCUGGCCUUGCCCGCAGCCGGCAUGACCAAGACCUGGCCGGCCUUGCCCGCGGCCGUUGCCGGCUUUGUGGCCGAUGUAGAAACAUAUAAUAAGUUCAGGCAAUCACCGGAGCCUCUCCGGUUUACUAAAUACUACUCCCUCCCUCCGUUCACCAUUAUAGGAUGUUCUAACUUUUUUCUGAAACAGAUGUAUAUAGCCGUAUUUUAGUGUAUUUGUUCACUCAUUUCAGUCCAUAUGUAGUCCAUAUUGAAAUAUAAAAAAUAUCUUAAUAGUGAACGGAGGGAGUAGAAGAUAAGGUUUAGAAGUGCUCCUCUACUGAGUAUGAACGAAGUAAAUUAUGGAACUCGCGGCGGAUCUUCCUCAAGUAUGUACAGAUAUAAAUAAAAGAUUGACGUGGGAUCUCAGUGCAUUUUAUUUUCUUGAUCAAAAGAGAGGCCCCCCUCUCCGAUUUCACUAAGAGAAACCAAGGUUCACAGCUACUACUAGGGUUUUUGUUACCCCGCACACGACAUACUAUCUUACAUGACCGGGGAUUACGACGAACCCCAGCCCAGCACCUCAAAAGGAUCGUGCAAGAUCUGAAAAUGAAAGCAGAGCACCCACACAACACUUCAGACACAGCAUACAGUAGUUGGAAGCAAAGCCUAGCACAUCAUAGCUAAAGCAAGAACUAGAUAACGGCUGAGGCAGCAGCAACGACGAAGAAGGUAAGCCACUGGGAAGACGAUCGGGACCUCAGCGCAUGCUCAUACAUGAUCAAGCAUCGACGGAUGCAAUGUUGGUGGCAUCGUUGCAGAACCGGCCGCACGCAUCGCCGCAGCGCCCCACGCCGACUUUCGUGUCUUCGCCAAGCUCAGCUGAUGACAAGAUCAAGAUAUGUGCAAUGCUCAUUCCAAACCGAAAAAAAAACUUUUCCCUCUUAUGAUAAAUUGAAAGUUAUAUAUACAGAUGAUGAGUUAAUUCAGAUACUACCUGAAUUGACGUUGUCACAGACUGAGAGCCUACAUCCUAAUUUGCAGUACUCAAUGGCGUCUGGUUCUUCUUCCGCAACAGCAGGAGCAAGCAUUAGUCAACCAGCCGUUAAUUGCAAUUUCUAUGCAUCUGGGAGCAAAAUGAUGUAGAGAAAACAGGAAGGGUGGCUUGGGUUCACGUACCAGCUGAACCGGGGAGAAGGUUGAGCUUAGGGUAUUCCCUGGGGCAUGUGCUGUCCCUUGUGAGCACACAGCCACACAUUUUUGAGCAGGGAGUACUNNNNNNNNNNNNNNNNNNNNNNNNNNNNNNNNNNNNNNNNNNNNNNNNNNNNNNNNNNNNNNNNNNNNNNNNNNNNNNNNNNNNNNNNNNNNNNNNNNNNGGGGCUGUGCUCGCAGCCUUGUCCACGGCCAGGCGAUGAACCUAUGGAUGCAGGAAAACGCCCACACCGGCGUACACGCCCGGAAAGACCGAGGCGUAGCUGGCCUUGCCCGCAGCCGGCAUGACCAAGACCUGGCCGGCCUUGCCCGCGGCCGUUGCCGGCUUUGUGGCCGAUGUAGAAACAUAUAAUAAGUUCAGGCAAUCACCGGAGCCUCUCCGGUUUACUAAAUACUACUCCCUCCCUCCGUUCACCAUUAUAGGAUGUUCUAACUUUUUUCUGAAACAGAUGUAUAUAGCCGUAUUUUAGUGUAUUUGUUCACUCAUUUCAGUCCAUAUGUAGUCCAUAUUGAAAUAUAAAAAAUAUCUUAAUAGUGAACGGAGGGAGUAGAAGAUAAGGUUUAGAAGUGCUCCUCUACUGAGUAUGAACGAAGUAAAUUAUGGAACUCGCGGCGGAUCUUCCUCAAGUAUGUACAGAUAUAAAUAAAAGAUUGACGUGGGAUCUCAGUGCAUUUUAUUUUCUUGAUCAAAAGAGAGGCCCCCCUCUCCGAUUUCACUAAGAGAAACCAAGGUUCACAGCUACUACUAGGGUUUUUGUUACCCCGCACACGACAUACUAUCUUACAUGACCGGGGAUUACGACGAACCCCAGCCCAACACCUCAAAAGGAUCGUGCAAGAUCUCAAAAUAAAAGCAGAGCACCCACACAACACUUCAGACACAGCAUACAGUAGUUGGAAGCAAAGCCUAGCACAUCAUAGCUAAAGCAAGAACUAGAUAAUGGCUGAGGCAGCAGCAACGACGAAGAAGGUAAGCCACUGGGAAGACGAUCGGGACCUCAGCGCAUGCUCAUACAUGAUCAAGCAUCGACGGAUGCAAUGUUGGUGGCAUCGUUGCAGAACCGGCCGC
Molecule: long non-coding RNA, 11777 nt
Filed under: Triticum aestivum (bread wheat)
Lineage: Eukaryota; Viridiplantae; Streptophyta; Magnoliopsida; Poales; Poaceae
Description: long non-coding RNA (TAES_LNC005745)
Source: RNAcentral